This 460-nucleotide ribosomal RNA is filed under the name uncultured bacterium. RNAcentral's name for it is "partial 16S ribosomal RNA". It matches the Rfam family "Bacterial small subunit ribosomal RNA", at positions 338 to 795 of the family's 1533-position model. The record is from RNAcentral.
CCUACGUGAGGCAGCAGUGAGGAAUAUUGGUCAAUGGGAGGCAUCCUGAACCAGCCAUGCCGCGUGCAGGACGACGGCUCUACGAGUUGUAAACUGCUUUUGUACCGGGGUAAAAUGCCUUACGUGUAGGGUUUUGAAAGUACGGUACGAAUAAGGAUCGGCUAACUCCAUUCCAGCAGCCGCGGUAAUAUGGAGGAUCCGAUCGUUAUGCGGAUUCCGUGGGUUUAAAGGGUCCGUAGGUUGUUUUAUGAGUUAGCGGUGAAAUACCGAUGCUCAACAUCGGGACUGCCGCUAAUACUGUAGGACUAGAGAUCGGAUGCAGCAGGCGGAAUGUGAAGUGUAGCGGUGAAAUGCAUAGAGAUUACAAAGAACACCGAUUGCGAAGGCAGCUUGCUAGGCCGGAUCUGACACUGAUGCACGAAAGCGUGGGGAUCGAACAGGAUUAGAUACCCGUGUAGUC